UCGGAAUUGCUAGUAAUCGCGGAUCAGCAUGCCGCGGUGAAUACGUUCCCGGGCCUUGUACACACCGCCCGUCACACCAUGAGAGUUGGAGAUACCCGAAGCCUGUGAGCUAACAAACGAGGCAGCAGUCGAAGGUANAAUCAAUGAUUGGGGCGAAGUCGUAACAAGGUAGC
Molecule: ribosomal RNA, 173 nt
Filed under: uncultured bacterium
Lineage: Bacteria
Description: partial 16S ribosomal RNA
Rfam family: Bacterial small subunit ribosomal RNA
Source: RNAcentral